This 481-nucleotide ribosomal RNA is filed under the name Fusarium sp. NRRL 25392. Its description in RNAcentral is "eukaryotic LSU rRNA". It matches the Rfam family "Eukaryotic large subunit ribosomal RNA", at positions 66 to 558 of the family's 3401-position model. Lineage: Eukaryota; Fungi; Ascomycota; Sordariomycetes; Hypocreales; Nectriaceae. RNAcentral also lists the same sequence under 2 other names. The record is from RNAcentral.
CAACAGGGAUUGCCCCAGUAACGGCGAGUGAAGCGGCAACAGCUCAAAUUUGAAAUCUGGCUCUCGGGCCCGAGUUGUAAUUUGUAGAGGAUGCUUUUGGUGAGGUGCCUUCCGAGUUCCCUGGAACGGGACGCCAUAGAGGGUGAGAGCCCCGUCUGGUUGGACGCCGAACCUCUGUAAAGCUCCUUCGACGAGUCGAGUAGUUUGGGAAUGCUGCUCUAAAUGGGAGGUAUAUGUCUUCUAAAGCUAAAUACCGGCCAGAGACCGAUAGCGCACAAGUAGAGUGAUCGAAAGAUGAAAAGAACUUUGAAAAGAGAGUUAAACAGUACGUGAAAUUGUUGAAAGGGAAGCGCUUGUGACCAGACUUGGGCUUGGUUGAUCAUCCGGGGUUCUCCCCGGUGCACUCUUCCGGCCUAGGCCAGCAUCAGUUCGCCCUGGGGGAUAAAGGCUUCGGGAACGUGGCUCUCUCCGGGGAGUGUUA